This 308-nucleotide long non-coding RNA is filed under the name Brassica napus (rape). RNAcentral's name for it is "long non-coding RNA (BNAP_LNC009246)". The record is from RNAcentral. Lineage: Eukaryota; Viridiplantae; Streptophyta; Magnoliopsida; Brassicales; Brassicaceae.
AUUUAUCUAAUUUUUUUUGUUUUUUUUUUGAACGUCUGAUUAAUUAUGCUAUUACAACGAUGAGAAAUAUUACAUACACGAUUCUACAGCCGAUAAUUCUAACCAUCAUAUGAGAAUGCACGUCUGACUGCAUCGUUCGAGCCGUCCUAUGAGAUCCAUGUUUGAUGAUACGCCUUUGCACCAUGCUGAAGACCUCUUGUAACCCUUUUUCUCCAUGAUCUGCAUAAUUUGCGUUUUCUGGGAUUUGAACUCCAGACCUCCUGGUGUAGAAAUAUUAAUGAACCCUUAGUCAAACCACUGGACUAAGG